This 75-nucleotide transfer RNA is filed under the name Alphaproteobacteria bacterium. RNAcentral describes it as "tRNA-Lys". It matches the Rfam family "tRNA". From Rfam's summary of the family: Transfer RNA (tRNA) molecules are approximately 80 nucleotides in length. Their secondary structure includes four short double-helical elements and three loops (D, anti-codon, and T loops). RNAcentral also lists the same sequence under 1 other name. Lineage: Bacteria; Pseudomonadati; Pseudomonadota; Alphaproteobacteria. The record is from RNAcentral.
GGGUCGGUAGCUCAGUGGUAGAGCAUCUGGCUUUUAACCAGUUGGUCGACAGUUCGAUCCUGUCCCGACCCACCA